UUUUUUCAGUGCAUCCAUCAUCUAGUUGUACUUCUUCUAACUUAUCAACAGUUGAUUGUGGUUCUGCGCAUUCUUCUUCAUCUUUUAAGGCUUUUAAAUAGGCUGGUAACUUGCCCUUUAAUUUCUAUUCUUCCUUUUUCACCGUUUCUUCCCUUUUUUUCCACUUGUCUCACUUCCCUCAACAAGACACAACAUUUUUUGGCAUCCCUUUAUGUUGAUAGUGUAAGUUCUGCAUGGUGAUUGACACCUUAACCCUUGAUGCAGGGUUGAAGCUACCCCUUGCAUUCUGUGCACCCAUGACCUUCCCAUGAGGGAAUUGCACUGGGGUGCGCUCGGCUGCUGUUACGUUCAAUCAAUUGCUCCUUUUGGUACCAUGUUUGUGCUAUUAAAUGAGAGGAUAUGGAAAAUGGAUGCCCUCAGGCUUUCUUCUGCUUAAUCACUAGUGCAUCAUCAUGGGGCAGGUUCACUUUCUUCAAAUCAUCUUCAGUGAAGGUAAUCGGGUGUGCUGGGAAAUAUCGUUCAGCCUGAUUCACGUAAUUAACUGAAUGAUGUAGAUAACACAUUCUCUUUACACUUUCUUCGGUCCUUUUCUCAAAUUUCAUCUUUGUUUCUCUUUCUAUUGAGGGUUUUGCGUACCCAAAUAUCAUAUGGAUUUGUUUUAACUGUUGUUGAGGUUGCUCUUCUAUUACUACUUGUGGCUGCGCAUUUGGUUCAACUACUGCUUGAGUGGGUGACUUUGGCGAUGCUUGAUGUUGUGUUGUUAUAUUCUGAGUAGUUUUGAUAUACUGGGACAACCCUUCCAUUCUUAAGAUGCAUUGCACUUGGUUGUUCAAUGAUCUACAUUCCGUUAACGUAUGGCCCACAUCUUUGUGGAACACACAAUAUUUGGUAUGAUCUCCCCAUUUUACUGGUUAGGUUAUUUUAAAUGGCUCCCUCCAAUUUGGUUUA
Long non-coding RNA from Humulus lupulus (European hop), 948 nucleotides. RefSeq lists it as uncharacterized. Lineage: Eukaryota; Viridiplantae; Streptophyta; Magnoliopsida; Rosales; Cannabaceae. The record is from RefSeq and is a predicted model, not a curated record. The transcript has 2 exons.